Molecule: ribosomal RNA, 467 nt
Filed under: uncultured bacterium
Lineage: Bacteria
Description: partial 16S ribosomal RNA
Rfam family: Bacterial small subunit ribosomal RNA
Source: RNAcentral
ACGAACGCUGGCGGCGUGCUUAACACAUGCAAGUCGAACGGAAAGGCCCUGCUUUUGUGGGGUGCUCGAGUGGCGAACGGGUGAGUAACACGUGAGUAACCUGCCCUUGACUUUGGGAUAACUUCAGGAAACUGGGGCUAAUACCGGAUAGGAGCUCCUGCUGCAUGGUGGGGGUUGGAAAGUUUCGGCGGUUAGGGAUGGACUCGCGGCUUAUCAGCUUGUUGGUGGGGUAGUGGCUUACCAAGGCUUUGACGGGUAGCCGGCCUGAGAGGGUGACCGGCCACAUUGGGACUGAGAUACGGCCCAGACUCCUACGGGAGGCAGCAGUGGGGAAUAUUGCACAAUGGGCGGAAGCCUGAUGCAGCAACGCCGCGUGCGGGAUGACGGCCUUCGGGUUGUAAACCGCUUUCGCCUGUGACGAAGCGUGAGUGACGGUAAUGGGUAAAGAAGCACCGGCUAACUACGUG